CGUUUUUGUUUUUUCUUUGCUUCAUUCAGUGUAUCUGCUCAGUGUUUGACAACCACAGGGAUGUUUUUGUGGUGCGUGAGAGCUACUAUCCUGCGUCUUUUAGAUGCAUCCUUUCUCCAACACGCCUGAUGAAAAUGAAUGUGUCCUUACCAGGCCUCUCCAGAGCUGAAUAACUAGUUUGUAUCCAUUUUACAGAAGCGAAGCGUGAAGGACUUGUUGCAAUGUCAGUCUUUUGUCUCCAUCUACUGGCCAGAAAUCCUCUGCAGUCUA
Poecilia reticulata (guppy) is the source of this 270-nucleotide long non-coding RNA. RefSeq lists it as uncharacterized. The record is from RefSeq and is a predicted model, not a curated record. Lineage: Eukaryota; Metazoa; Chordata; Actinopteri; Cyprinodontiformes; Poeciliidae.